This 502-nucleotide ribosomal RNA is filed under the name uncultured bacterium. RNAcentral describes it as "bacterial SSU rRNA". It matches the Rfam family "Bacterial small subunit ribosomal RNA", at positions 28 to 526 of the family's 1533-position model. The record is from RNAcentral.
GACGAACGCUGGCGGCGCGCCUAACACAUGCAAGUCGAACGGAGCGCAGCGAGUCAAUCCCUUCGGGGUGAGACAUGCUGUUGCUUAGUGGCGAACGGGUGAGUAACACGUGAGCAACCUACCCAGGGGCGGGGGACAACAUUUGGAAACAGAUGCUAAUACCGCGUAAGACCACGGAACCGCAUGAUUCUGAGGCCAAAGGAUUUAUCCACCCCCGGAUGGGCUCGCGCCUGAUUAGCUAGUUGGUGAGGUAACGGCCCACCAAGGCAACGAUCAGUAGCCGGACUGAGAGGUUGAACGGCCACAUUGGGACUGAGACACGGCCCAGACUCCUACGGGAGGCAGCAGUGAGGAAUAUUGCACAAUGGGGGAAACCCUGAUGCAGCGACGCCGCGUGGAGGAAGAAGGUUUUCGGAUUGUAAACUCCUGUCUUCGGGGACGAUAAUGACGGUACCCGAGGAGGAAGCCACGGCUAACUACGUGCCAGCAGCCGCAGUAAGAC